AUCUUCUCCUUCGGGAGAAGGUUAGCGGCGGACGGGUGAGUAACACGUAGGCAACCUGCCCACAAGACCGGGAUAACAUUCGGAAACGAAUGCUAAUACCGGAUACGCGAUUUCCUCGCAUGGGGAGAUCGGGAAAGACGGAGCAAUCUGUCACUUACAGAUGGACCUGCGGCGCAUUAGCUAGUUGGUGGGGUAACGGCUCACCAAGGCGAGGAAGAGUAGCCGACCUGAGAGGGUGAUCGGCCACACUGGGACUUAUCCUCGGCCCAUAGACCUACGGGAGGCAGCAUUCGAUCUUGCAGUUAACUCGANCCUCCGAAGA
Molecule: small RNA, 322 nt
Filed under: uncultured bacterium
Lineage: Bacteria
Description: bacterial SSU rRNA
Rfam family: Bacterial small subunit ribosomal RNA (bases 1-289)
Source: RNAcentral